GGUAAAAUGGCCGAAUUAGGUAUAGGAUUGUAGCUCCUGUUAUAAAGGUUAAAGCCCUUUUUUUAUCA
RNAcentral lists this transfer RNA (68 nucleotides) under Lyciasalamandra luschani (Lycian salamander). RNAcentral's name for it is "tRNA-Tyr". It matches the Rfam family "tRNA". Rfam says of the family: Transfer RNA (tRNA) molecules are approximately 80 nucleotides in length. Their secondary structure includes four short double-helical elements and three loops (D, anti-codon, and T loops). The record is from RNAcentral. Lineage: Eukaryota; Metazoa; Chordata; Amphibia; Caudata; Salamandridae.